UUUUGGAGAAAAAAAAAUUCUUAGUGUUUUUUCAAAAUUAUUUGCCAGUAAACUAUGUGAAAUGCGGGGCGAAACAAACAGAGGCGAUUUGGUGGUGCAAGCAGCACAAUGCUUGAAAAAUGAUUUGUUGCUGGACAACAUUUGACACUUCGACACUACAUUCCAUGGGAUAUUGAUAUUGGACCAACUUAGGCACGACACUCUUCACACAAGACUAAACCCAGCUUAGGCCAUCAGAAAAAAGGUGGAACUUCUGCGAUGGGACCCGGCUCCACGUGACCCGUUUCACGUGUCUUGAGACGAGCGGAUUGCAUCAACACAUACUUCAACCUGUUCUUGUCAGAAUGUUAAAUGUUUUAAAAAUAUAGAAAUGCACACCAA
This is a long non-coding RNA of Drosophila persimilis, 381 nucleotides long. RefSeq lists it as uncharacterized. The transcript has 3 exons. Lineage: Eukaryota; Metazoa; Arthropoda; Insecta; Diptera; Drosophilidae. The record is from RefSeq and is a predicted model, not a curated record.